AAAUGCUGUUAUUAUAUCUUUAUGAAAUUCUACCUUUCUGGGUUAUUUUGACAUUUUCCUUUUGCGUCACGGCACCUAUUUCGAAUACUUGUGCAACUUAAGGACCGGGAUUUCCUUAUUCAAAGGAAAGCUAUGUUCCUCGAAGAAUCGUUGGAUCUUCAUUUGCCAAGAAUGUCUUCAUUAAUCAAGAACGAAAGUCAGAGGUUCGAAGGCGAUUAGAUACCGCCCUAGUUCUGACCGUAAACUAUGCCAUCUAGCGAUCUCUUCCACUUGCAGCGAUCGCGUUGAAAAUUUCAGGACUUAAACU
Molecule: non-coding RNA, 307 nt
Filed under: Angiostrongylus costaricensis
Lineage: Eukaryota; Metazoa; Nematoda; Chromadorea; Rhabditida; Metastrongylidae
Description: Eukaryotic small subunit ribosomal RNA
Rfam family: Eukaryotic small subunit ribosomal RNA
Source: Rfam by way of RNAcentral